UUUUUUUUUAAUUUAAUUUAAUUUUAUUUUAUUUUUUGUCUUUUUGUUAUUUCUUGGGCCGCUCCCACGGCAUAUGGAGGUUCCCAGGCUAGGGGUCCAAUCGGAGCUGUAGCCACAGGCCUACGCCAGAGCCACAGCAACGCAGGAUCCGAGCCGAGUCUGCAACCUACACCACAGCUCACAGCAACGCCGGAUCGUUAACCCACUGAGCAAGGCCAGGGACCGAACCUGCAACCUCAUGGUUCCUAGUCGGAUUUGUUAACCACUGCGCCAUGGUGGGAACUCCCUAAUAGACAUUUCUAAUCACUGUCAUCCAGGUAUCCAAACUCUUGUCUUCACCAUUCAUUUAUUUAUUCAUCUAUCAUUUCUUUAAAACCUUAAAUUUCCUAGAACUAAAUGUCACUUAGAAUAUCAGUGUCACAAAAGUGAAUGUCAUAUUCUUUUUCCUUAGCAGUUCACACACAAGGAUGAUAAAUAAAAACAUAUAAUAAAUCUACAACCAAGAAUACUCUACCUAGGAAGGCUCUCAUCCAGAUGAGAAGAAAUCAAAAGCUUUACAGACAAACAGAAGGUAAGAGAAUUCCACUCCACCAAACCAGCUUUACAACAAAUACUAAAGGAGCUUCCCUAGGCAGAAAAGGCCACAACUAGAAACAAGAAAAUUACACAUAAGAAGGCUCACUGAUAAAGGCAAAAACAUAUAGAAAGGUAGGAAAUCAUCCACACACAAAUAUUAUAUCAAAACCAGCAACUGUGAGAAGAGGAAAGUACAAAUGCAAGAUAUUGGAGAUGCAUUUGCAAUUAAGAGACCAGCAACUUAAACAAUCAUAUACAUAAGACUUCUAUAUCAAAACCUCAUGGUAACUGCAAACCAAAAAUCUACAAUAGAUUUAUACACAAGUAAAAAGAGCAAUUCAAACACAACAUUAAAACAGUCAUCAAACCUCAAAAGAACAAAAGGGGGAAAGAAAAAAAAAAUCCAAAACAAUUAACAAAAUCGCAGUAAAAAAGAAUGGAACUACCAAUAAUUACCUUAAAUGUAAAUGGACUAAAUGCUCCAACCAAAUGACAUAGACUGGCUAAAUGAAUACAAAAACAAGACCCAUAUAUAUGUCGUCUACGACGAGACCCACUUUAGUUCUAGGGACACAUACAAGCUGAAAGUAAGAGGAUGGAAGAAGAUACUCCAUGCAAAUGAAAAUCAAAAGAAAGCUGUAGUAGUAAUACUCAUAUCAGACAAAGUAGACUAUAAUACAGAAGGUUACAAGUGACAAAGAAGGUCAUUAUAUCAUGACCAAAGAAUCAAUCCAAGAAGAAGACAUAAUGAUUGUAAAUAUAUAUGUACCCAACAUAAGAGCACCCUAAUAUAUAAGGCAACUGCUAAUAGCCAUAAAAGGAAAAACUGACAAUAACACAGUAAUAGUGGGGGACUUUAACACUUAUAGCAAUGGACAGUUCAUCCAGACAGAAAAUCAACAAGGAAAUACAGGCUUUAAAUGAUGCAUUAGGCUAGAGGGACUUAACAGAUAUUUAAAGAACAUUCCAUUCAAAAGCAGCAGAAUACACAUUCUUCUUAAAUGCAUAUGGAACAUUCUCUAGGACUGAUCACACACUAAGCCACAAAUCAAGCCUAGUGAAUUUAAGAAACUAAAAUCAGGUGUUCCUGCUGUAGUGCAGUGGAUUAAGAAUCUGACUGCAGUGGCUUGGGUGGCUGUAGAGGCACAGUUUGAUCCUCAGCCUGGCACAGUGGGUUAAAGGAUCCUGCAUUGCUACAGCUGCAUUGCAGCUGAGGCUUGAAUUCAAUCCUUAGACCGGGAACUUCCACGUGCUGCAGGUGCAGCCAUAAAGAAAAUAAGAAAAAAGCAAAAGAAAGAAAAAGAAAAUUGAAAUCAUAUCAAGCAUCUUUUCUAAACACAAUGUGUUAUCAACUAACCAGAAAUCAACUAAAAGAAAAAACUGUGAAAAACAGACAUGUGGUUACUAAAAAAUAUGCUACUAAAUAAUCAAUAGAUCAUUAAAGAAAUCAAAAGAGAAAUCAAACAAUAUCCAAAGACAAAUGAAAAUGAAAACACAAUGAUCCAAAACCUAUGGGAUAUAGCAAAAGCAGUUCUAAGAGUGGAUUUUAUAGCAAUUCAAGUAUACCUCAGAAAAUAAGAAAAAUCUCAAAUAAACAACCUAACCUUACCCCUCAAGCAACUAGAAAAAGGGCAAAAAAAACCCAAAGUGAGGAGAAGGAAAGAAAUCAUAAAGCUUAGAGUAGAAAUAAAUGAAAUAGAAAUGAAAAAAAACGAAAGAAAAGAUAAAUGAAACUAAAAGCUGGUUCUUUGAAAAGAUCAACAAAAUUGAUAAACCCUUAGCCAAACUCAUCAAGAAAAAAAGGGAGAGGACUCAAAUCAAUAACAUAAUACCUUAAAAAGGAGAAAUUACAACAGAUAUCACAGAAAUACAAAGGAUCGUUAAGAGACGACUACAAGCAACUAUAUGCCAAUAAAACUGACCACGUAGAAGAAAUGGACAAAUUCUUAGAAAGGGACAAUCCUCCAAGAUUGAACUAGGAAGAAAUACAAAAUAUGAAGAGACCAACUACAAGUACUGAAAUUGAAAAUGGGAUUUUAAAACUUUCAACAAACAAAAGUCCAGAUAGCUUCAGAGGCGAAUUCUAUCAAACAUUUAAAUAAGAGUUAACAUCUGUCCUUCUGAAACUAUACCAAAGAAGUGCAGAGGAAAGAACACUCCAAAACUCACUCCAUCAGCCUGAUACCAAAACCAAAGAUACCACACACACAAACACAAAAAGAAAAUUGCAGGCCAAUAUCGCUGAUCAACACAGAUGCAAAAAUCCCCAACUAAAUACUAGAAACUGAAUCCAAGAACACAUUAAGGAUCCUACACCAUGAUCAGGUAGGAUUUAUUCCAGUGAUGCAGGAUUUUUAAAUAUCUGCAAAUCCAUCAGUGUGAUAUAGCACGUUAACAAAUUGAAGAAAAACCAUAUGAUCAUUUCAAUAGAUGCAAAAAAACUUUAGACAAAACCCAACACCCAUUUAUGAUUAAAACGUUCCAGAAAUUGGACAUAGGGAACUCACCUCAACAUAAUAAAGGUCACAUAUGACAAGUCUACAGCUAAUAUCAUUCUCAAUGGUGAAAAGCUAAAAAGAAUUUCUGUUAAUAUCAGAAUCAAGUCAAGGAUGUCCAUCCACUCUUGCCACUGUUAUCCAAAAUAGUUUUAAAAGUCCUAACAAUGGCAAUCAGAGGGAAAAAAAGAAACAAACAGGAUUCAAAUUGGAAAAGAAGUAAAACUAUCACUGCCUGCAUAUAACAUGAUAUGAUAUGUAGAAAAUCCAAACUACAUUACCAGCAAACUGUUAGAGCUCGUCAAUGAAUUCGCUAAAGUUGCAGGAUAACAACAUUAAUACAUAGAAAUUUAUGGCAUUUUUAAUAUACUAACAAUGAAAGAUCAGAAAGAGAAAUUAGGGAAACAAUCUCACCAUCACAUCUAAAAGAAUAAGAUAUCUAGGAAUAAACCUACCUGAAGAGACAAAAGACCUGUGCUCUGAAAACUGUAAGACCCUGAUGAAAGAAAUCAAAGAUGACACAACAAAAUGGAAAGAUAAACGAUGUUCUUGGAUUGAAAGAAUCAGUAUCAUCAAAAUGACUCUACUACCCAAGGAAAUCUACAAAUUCAAUGUAAUCCCUAUCAAAUUACCAAGGCCAUUUUUCAAAGAACUCAAAAAAAAUUUUUAAAUUUGUAUAUAAAGAGAAAAGACCACAAAUAGCCAAAGCAAUCCUGAGAAAGAAAAACGGUGCUGGAGGAAUCAAGCUCCCUGCCUUUAGACUACACUACAGAGGUGUAGUCAUCAAAACAGUAUGGUACUGGCACAAAAACAGAAAUAUAGAUCAAUGGAACAGGAGAGAAACCCCAUAAAUAAAUCCAUGCACCAAAUCUACAACAAAGGAGGCAAGGAUGAACAAUGGAGAAAAUAAAGUCUCUUCAAUAAGUGGUGUGGGAAAACUGGACAGCUGCAUGUAAAAGAAUGAAAUUAGAACACUCUCUAACACCAUACACACAAACUCAAAAUGGAUUAAAGACAAACAUUAAAGACUGGAUGCUAUAAAACUUUUAGAGGACAACAUAGGCAGAACGCUAACAUAAAUAGCAGUACUGUCUUUGAGAUCCACCUCCUAGAGUAAUGAAUGUAAAAACAAACAACUGGGACCUAAUUAAACUUAAAAGUUUUUGCAUAGCAAAGAAAACCAUGAACAAAACAAAAAGCCAACUCACAGAAGAGAAGAAAAUAUAUGCAAAUGAUGUGAUAAGGGAUUAAUCUCCAAAUUAUACAAACAACUCAUGUAGCUCAAUUGAAAAAAACAAACAAACAAACAAAAAAAAACCAACCCCAUCAAAAAACACGCAGAAGGUCUAAAUAGACAUUUCUCCAAAGACAUACAGAUGCUCCCCCCAAAAAACACAUAAAAAGAUGUUUAAUACCACUAAUUAUUAGAGAAUUACAAAUCAAAACUACUAUGAGGUACCAUCUUACACCAGCUAGAAAGGCCAUCAUGAAAAAAUCUAUAAACAAUAAACUCUAGAGAGGGUGAGGAGAAAAGGGAACCCUCCUACACUGCAGGUAGUAUGUAAACUGGUGCAGCAUUAUGAAAAAUAGUACAGAGGUUCCUCGAAAAAUUAAAAAUAGAACUACCAUAUGAUCCAGCAAUCCCACUCCUGGCCAUCUAUCUGAAGAAAACCAUAAUUUGAAAAGAUACAUGCACCCCAAUGUAUCUAUUUACAAUAGCCAAGACAUGAAAGCAACUUAAAUGUCUGUCAACAGAGGAAUAGAUAAAGAAGAUGUGAUACAUACAUACAAUGGAAUAUUACUCAACCAUAGAAAAGAAUGAAAUAAUGCAUCUGCAGCAACAUGGAUGGACCCAGAGAUUAUCAUAUACUAAGUGAAGUUAGCGAGUAAAAGACAAACAUCAUAUUUUGUCACUUAUAUGUAAAAUCUACAAAAAGGAUACAAACGAACUUAUUUACAGAACAGAAACAGACUCACAGACUUAGAAAACAAAUUUAUGGUUAUCAAGGGGACAGGCUGAGAGGUUUGGGGAGUAGGAAAGGACAGACUGGGGGUUUAGGACUGGCGUAUGAACACUAUGGUCUAUGGAAUGACUGGCCAGUGGGGACUUGGUGUAUAGCACACGGAACUCUACCAAUAUUCUGUGACAAUGUAUAUGGGAAAACAAUCUGAAAAAGAAUAGAUGUGUGUGUAUAUGUAUAACUGAAUCACUUUAUUGUACAGCAAAAAUUACCACAUUAUAAAUCAAUGAUACUUCAAUAAAACUUUAAAAAUGAAAAAAAAAAAUGUGUAUCAAAGCUCUAGGUAUAAAUAUCCUAUGGCAAGUAAGUUACUUGCCAUGUUAAAUGGGCUCUUUUAAUCCUUAUAACAGCCAAUUCUUUAAACUCUUUAAUUCUUUAAACUCUUUAAAGUGAAGAAACUGAGAUGUAAAGUAACAUGUUCAUGUAUAUAAAUAGACAGCGAAGAAGCCAAAAAACAAAUCUACAUGUACCUAACAUAAAACAUAUGCUUAUUUUAUUUAUUAUUAUUAUUAUUUUAUGCCCACACCCUCAGCAAAUGGAAGUUCCUGGGUCAGGGAUUGAAUCUGAGAUGUAGAUGCAUCCUACUUUGCAGCUGUGGCAAUGCCAGGUCCUUUAACCCACUGUGCUGGGCCAGGGAUUGAACUCACACCUCCACAGUGACCCAAACCACAAUAGUCAGAUUCUUAACCCAUUGAGUUCCCGUCGUGGCGCAGUGGUUAACGAAUC
RNAcentral lists this long non-coding RNA (5818 nucleotides) under Sus scrofa (pig). RNAcentral's name for it is "lncRNA (ENSSSCG00065006995.1)". Lineage: Eukaryota; Metazoa; Chordata; Mammalia; Artiodactyla; Suidae. The record is from RNAcentral.